This 433-nucleotide ribosomal RNA is filed under the name uncultured bacterium. RNAcentral describes it as "partial 16S ribosomal RNA". It matches the Rfam family "Bacterial small subunit ribosomal RNA", at positions 29 to 507 of the family's 1533-position model. The record is from RNAcentral.
AACGAACGCUGGCGGCAUGCCUAACACAUGCAAGUCGAACGAGACCUUCGGGCCUAGUGGCGCACGGGUGCGUACCGCGUGGUAACCUGCCCUUAGGUUCGGAAUAACUCCCCGAAAGGGGUGCUAAUACCGGAUAAUGUCUUCGGACCAAAGAUUUAUCGCCUUUGGAUGGGCCCGCGUUGGAUUAGCUAGUUGGUAGGGUAAAAGCCUACCAAGGCGACGAUCCAUAGCUGGUCUGAGAGGAUGAUCAGCCACACUGGGACUGAGACACGGCCCAGACUCCUACGGAAGGCAGCAGUGGGGAAUAUUGGACAAUGGGCGAAAGCCUGAUCCAGCGAUGCCGCGUAAGUGAUGAAGGCCUUAGGGUUGUAAAGCUCUUUUACCCGAGAUGAUAAUGACAGUACCGGGAGAAUAAGCACCGGCUAACUCCGUG